RNAcentral lists this ribosomal RNA (536 nucleotides) under Austrostipa ramosissima. Its description in RNAcentral is "eukaryotic LSU rRNA". The stretch from base 138 to 293 matches the Rfam family "5.8S ribosomal RNA". The record is from RNAcentral. Lineage: Eukaryota; Viridiplantae; Streptophyta; Magnoliopsida; Poales; Poaceae.
ACCUCCCCUCCUCGGAGGGGGGGGGCCGGGGCAACAGAACCCACGGCGCCGACGGCGUCAAGGAACACUAUGCCUAACCCGAGGGUGUGGUUGGCUUGCUAGCCACCCCUCGUGUUGUGAUGCUAUCUAAUCCACACGACUCUCGGCAACGGAUAUCUCGGCUCUCGCAUCGAUGAAGAACGUAGCGAAAUGCGAUACCUGGUGUGAAUUGCAGAAUCCCGCGAACCAUCGAGUCUUUGAACGCAAGUUGCGCCCGAGGCCACCCGGCUGAGGGCACGCCUGCCUGGGCGUCACGCCAAUACACGCUCCCACCACCCUCAUUGGGUUGCGGGAUGCGGAUUCUGGCCCUCCGUGCCGUGAGGCGCGGCGGGCCGAAGAUCGGGCUGCCGGCGUAUCGUGCCGGACACAGCGCGUGGUGGACUUCUACUCAGCGCAGUGCAUUUGGCAUGUAGCCGGCGCAACGGCCCCAAGGACCCAACGAACGGAGCGCCUGUCGCUCCGACCGCGACCCCAGGUCAGGCGGGACUACCCGCUGA